AACGCUAGCUACAGGCUUAACACAUGCAAGUCGAGGGGAAACGACAUCGAAAGCUUGCUUUUGAUGGGCGUCGACCGGCGCACGGGUGAGUAACGCGUAUCCAACCUGCCCACCACUUGGGGAUAACCUUGCGAAAGUAAGACUAAUACCCAAUGAUAUCUCUAGAAGACAUCUGAAAGAGAUUAAAGAUUUAUCGGUGAUGGAUGGGGAUGCGUCUGAUUAGCUUGUUGGCGGGGUAACGGCCCACCAAGGCGACGAUCAGUAGGGGUUCUGAGAGGAAGGUCCCCCACAUUGGAACUGAGACACGGUCCAAACUCCUACGGGAGGCAGCAGUGAGGAAUAUUGGUCAAUGGGCGAGAGCCUGAACCAGCCAAGUAGCGUGCAGGAAGACGGCCCUAUGGGUUGUAAACUGCUUUUAUAAGGGAAUAAAGUGAGAGUCGUGACUCUUUUUGCAUGUACCUUAUGAAUAAGGACCGGCUAAUUCCGUGCCAGCAGCCGCGGUAAUACGGAAGGUCCGGGCGUUAUCCGGAUUUAUUGGGUUUAAAGGGAGCGUAGGCCGGAGAUUAAGCGUGUUGUGAAAUGUAGGCGCUCAACAUCUGCACUGCAGCGCGAACUGGUUUCCUUGAGUACGCACAAAGUGGGCGGAAUUCGUGGUGUAGCGGUGAAAUGCUUAGAUAUCACGAAGAACUCCGAU
RNAcentral lists this ribosomal RNA (694 nucleotides) under uncultured bacterium. RNAcentral describes it as "bacterial SSU rRNA". It matches the Rfam family "Bacterial small subunit ribosomal RNA", at positions 32 to 713 of the family's 1533-position model. The record is from RNAcentral.